CCUACGGGUUGCAGCAGUAGGGAAUAUUGGGCAAUGGCCGCGAGGCUGACCCAGCCAUGCCGCGUGCAGGAGGAAGGCCUUCUGGGUUGUAAACUGCUUUUGUAUGGGAAGAAAACGCCCCUGCGGGGGUAACUGACGGUACCAUACGAAUAAGCACCGGCUAACUCCGUGCCAGCAGCCGCGGUAAUACGGAGGGUGCAAGCGUUGUCCGGAUUUAUUGGGUUUAAAGGGUGCGUAGGCGGCCCGUUAAGUCAGCGGUGAAAUCCCAGGGCUCAACCCUGGAACUGCCGUUGAUACUGGCGGGCUUGAGUUCGGUGAAGGCGGGCGGAACUGGCGGUGUAGCGGUGAAAUGCUUAGAUACCGCCAAGAACCCCGAUUGCGUAGGCAGCUCGCUGUGCCGAAACUGACGCUGAGGCACGAAAGCGUGGGGAGCGAACAGGAUUAGAUACCCUGGUAGUC
RNAcentral lists this ribosomal RNA (459 nucleotides) under uncultured bacterium. RNAcentral's name for it is "bacterial SSU rRNA". It matches the Rfam family "Bacterial small subunit ribosomal RNA", at positions 338 to 795 of the family's 1533-position model. The record is from RNAcentral.